Molecule: ribosomal RNA, 202 nt
Filed under: Pseudomonas putida
Lineage: Bacteria; Pseudomonadati; Pseudomonadota; Gammaproteobacteria; Pseudomonadales; Pseudomonadaceae
Description: partial 23S ribosomal RNA
Rfam family: Bacterial large subunit ribosomal RNA
Source: RNAcentral
CAAGUGAAGAAGCGCAUACGGUGGAUGCCUUGGCAGUCAGAGGCGAUGAAAGACGUGGUAGCCUGCGAUAAGCUUCGGGGAGGCGGCAAACAGACUUUGAUCCGGAGAUCUCUGAAUGGGGGAACCCACCUGGCAUAAGUCAGGUAUCUUGUACUGAAUACAUAGGUGCAAGAGGCGAACCAGGGGAACUGAAACAUCUAAG